This 197-nucleotide unclassified non-coding RNA is filed under the name uncultured Herpotrichiellaceae. Its description in RNAcentral is "sequence contains ITS1". Lineage: Eukaryota; Fungi; Ascomycota; Eurotiomycetes; Chaetothyriales; Herpotrichiellaceae. The record is from RNAcentral.
ACGAGUUAGGGUCUUUUAUAGGCUCCAUCUCCCAACCCUUUGUUUACUUGACCCACGUUGCUUCGGCGAGCCCGUCUCUUUCCAGGGACCGCCGGAGGGCUGUCAAAUGCCCUCUGGCCCGCGCUCGUCGGUGGCCAAUCUUUAUAAAUUCUUGAUUAAACGUGUUUUUGAUCUGAGUACUAUUUUUAAUUAAAGCA